UACGUAGGUGGCAAGCGUUGUCCGGAUUUACUGGGCGUAAAGAGCGCGCAGGCGGUCGUUUAAGUCGAAUGUGAAAGCCCCCGGCUCAACUGGGGAGGGUCAUUCGAUACUGAUCGACUUGAAGGCAGGAGAGGGAAGUGGAAUUCCAGGUGUAGCGGUGAAAUGCGCAGAUAUCGGGAGGAACACCAAUGGCGAAGGCAGCUCGCUGGGACGUGACUGACACUGAGACGCGAAAGCGUGGGGAGCAAACAGG
Molecule: ribosomal RNA, 253 nt
Filed under: uncultured bacterium
Lineage: Bacteria
Description: partial 16S ribosomal RNA
Rfam family: Bacterial small subunit ribosomal RNA
Source: RNAcentral